This 425-nucleotide ribosomal RNA is filed under the name uncultured bacterium. Its description in RNAcentral is "partial 16S ribosomal RNA". It matches the Rfam family "Bacterial small subunit ribosomal RNA", at positions 354 to 796 of the family's 1533-position model. The record is from RNAcentral.
GUGGGGAAUCUUGCGCAAUGGGCGAAAGCCUGACGCAGCCAUGCCGCGUGAAUGAUGAAGGUCUUAGGAUUGUAAAAUUCUUUCACCGGGGAAGAUAAUGACGGUACCCGGAGAAGAAGCUCCGGCUAACUUCGUGCCAGCAGCCGCGGUAAUACGAAGGGGGCUAGCGUUGCUCGGAAUUACUGGGCGUAAAGGGCGCGUAGGCGGACAGCUUAGUCAGAGGUGAAAGCCCAGGGCUCAACCUUGGAAUUGCCUUUGAUACUGGCUGUCUUGAGUGUGUGAGAGGUGAGUGGAACUCCGAGUGUAGAGGUGAAAUUCGUAGAUAUCGGGAGGAACACCAGUGGCGAAGGCGGCUUCCAAGCACAAUACUGACGCUCAUGUGCGAAAGCUAGGGCAGCGAACGGUAUUAGAAACACCGGUAGUCC